UAGGGUUGGGACUGAGGUAGGGCUGAGACUGGAGUAGGGCAGAGACUGGAGUAGAGAUGAGGCUGAGGUUGGGCUGAGGCUGGGGCACGGCAGGGGGUAGGGCUGAGGCUGGGGUAGGGCGGAGACUGGAGUAGGGCUGAGGCUGAGGUUGGGCUGAGGCUAGGGCAUGUCAGGGGGCUGGGGUAUGGCUGAGACUGGAGUAGGGCGGAGACUGGAGUAAGGUUGAGGCUGGGGCAGGGCUGAGGCUGGGGCACGGCAGGGGGUAGGGUUGAGUCUGGAGUAUGGCUGAGGCUGAGGUAGGGCUGAGGUAGGGUUGAGGCUGGGGCAGAGCUGAGGCUGGGGCAGGGCUAUGGUUGGGGUACGGCUGGGGCUGGGGUAGGACUGAGACUGGGUAGGGCUAAGACUGGGGCAGGGCUGAGGCUGGGUCAGGGCUUGGGUUGGAGUAUGGCUGGGGCUGAGAUAGGGCUGAGGCUGGGGCAGGGCUAUGGUUGGGGUACGGCUGAGGCUGGGUUAGGGCUGGGGUAGGACUGAGACUGGGUAGGGCUAAGACUGGGGCAGGGCUGAGACAAGGCUGAGACUGGAGUAGGACUCAGACUGGGGUAGGGCUGGGUCUGAGGUAAGGCUGCUGGGGUAGGGCUGGGUCUGAGGUAGGGCUGUGUCUGUAGUAGGGCUAAGACUGGGUAGGGCUGGGUCUGAGGUAGGGCUGCUGGGGUAGGGCUGGGUCUGAAGUAAGGCUGCUGGGGUAGGGCUGGGUCUGAGGUAGGGCUGCUGGGGUAGGGCUGGGUCUGAAGUAGGGCUGCUGGGGUAGGGCUGGGUCUGAAGUAG
Molecule: long non-coding RNA, 825 nt
Organism: Oncorhynchus tshawytscha (Chinook salmon)
Lineage: Eukaryota; Metazoa; Chordata; Actinopteri; Salmoniformes; Salmonidae
Source: Ensembl